UGGGGAAUCUUGCACAAUGGGGGAAACCCUGAUGCAGCGACGCCGCGUGAGCGAUGAAGGUUUUCGAAUCGUAAAGCUCUGUCCUAUGGGAAGAUAAUGACGGUACCAUAGGAGGAAGCCCCGUCUAACCAUGUGCCAGCAGCCGCGGUACUACGUAGGGGGCGAGCGUUGUCCGGAAUUACUGGGCGUAAAGGGUUCGCAGGCGGCAUGACAAGUCCGAUGUAAAAGGCGAAAGCUCAACUUUCGUAAGCAUCGGAAACUGUCAAUCUUGAGUGAAGUAGGGGCAAGUGGAAUUCCUGGUGUAGCGGUGGAAUGCGUAAAGAUUAGGAGGAAUACCGGUGGCGAAGGCGACUUGCUGGACUUCAACUGACGCUGAGGAACGAAAGCGUGGGUAGCAAACAGG
RNAcentral lists this ribosomal RNA (403 nucleotides) under bacterium. RNAcentral describes it as "partial 16S ribosomal RNA". It matches the Rfam family "Bacterial small subunit ribosomal RNA", at positions 355 to 776 of the family's 1533-position model. The record is from RNAcentral.